AGUGAACGCUGGCGGUAGGCCUAACACAUGCGAGUCGAACGGCAGCACAGUAAGAGCUUGCUCUUACGGGUGGCGAGUGGCGGACGGGUGAGGAAUACAUCGGAAUCUACUUUUUCGUGGGGGAUAACGUAGGGAAACUUACGCUAAUACCGCAUACGACCUACGGGUGAAAGCAGGGGAUCUUCGGACCUUGCGCGAUUGAAUGAGCCGAUGUCGGAUUAGCUAGUUGGCGGGGUAAAGGCCCACCAAGGCGACGAUCCGUAGCUGGUCUGAGAGGAUGAUCAGCCACACUGGAACUGAGACACGGUCCAGACUCCUACGGGAGGCAGCAGUGGGGAAUAUUGGACAAAGGGCGCAAGCCUGAUCCAGCCAUACCGCGUGGGUGAAGAAGGCCUUCGGGUUGUAAAGCACUUUUGUUGGGAAAGAAAAGCAGAAGGUUAAUACCCCGCUGUUCUGACGGUACCCAAAGAAUAAGCACCGGCUAACUUCGUG
This 492-nucleotide ribosomal RNA is filed under the name uncultured bacterium. Its description in RNAcentral is "partial 16S ribosomal RNA". It matches the Rfam family "Bacterial small subunit ribosomal RNA", at positions 29 to 507 of the family's 1533-position model. The record is from RNAcentral.